This 1391-nucleotide ribosomal RNA is filed under the name uncultured bacterium. RNAcentral's name for it is "bacterial SSU rRNA". It matches the Rfam family "Bacterial small subunit ribosomal RNA". The record is from RNAcentral.
AGAGUUUGAUCCUGGCUCAGGAUGAACGCUGGCGGCGUGCUUAACACAUGCAAGUCGAGCGAAGCACCUUGACGGAUUUCUUCGGAUUGAAGCCUUGGUGACUGAGCGGCGGACGGGUGAGUAACGCGUGGGUAACCUGCCUCAUACAGGGGGAUAACAGUUGGAAACGGCUGCUAAUACCGCAUAAGCGCACAGUACCGCAUGGUACGGUGUGAAAAACUCCGGUGGUAUGAGAUGGACCCGCGUCUGAUUAGGUAGUUGGUGGGGUAACGGCCUACCAAGCCGACGAUCAGUAGCCGACCUGAGAGGGUGACCGGCCACAUUGGGACUGAGACACGGCCCAAACUCCUACGGGAGGCAGCAGUGGGGAAUAUUGCACAAUGGGGGAAACCCUGAUGCAGCGACGCCGCGUGAGCGAUGAAGUAUUUCGGUAUGUAAAGCUCUAUCAGCAGGGAAGAAAAUGACGGUACCUGACUAAGAAGCCCCGGCUAACUACGUGCCAGCAGCCGCGGUAAUACGUAGGGGGCAAGCGUUAUCCGGAUUUACUGGGUGUAAAGGGAGCGUAGACGGCAUGGCAAGCCAGAUGUGAAAGCCCGGGGCUCAACCCCGGGACUGCAUUUGGAACUGUCAGGCUAGAGUGUCGGAGAGGAAAGCGGAAUUCCUAGUGUAGCGGUGAAAUGCGUAGAUAUUAGGAGGAACACCAGUGGCGAAGGCGGCUUUCUGGACGAUGACUGACGUUGAGGCUCGAAAGCGUGGGGAGCAAACAGGAUUAGAUACCCUGGUAGUCCACGCCGUAAACGAUGAAUAAUGGGUGUCGGGUGGCAAAGCCAUUCGGGGCCGCAGCAAACGCAAUAAGUAUUCCACCUGGGGAGGACGUUCGCAAGAAUGAAACUCAAAGGAAUUGACGGGGGCCCGCACAAGCGGUGGAGCAAUGUGGUUUAAUUCGAAGCAACGCGAAGAACCUUACCAAGUCUUGACAUCCUUCUGACCGGUACUUAAUCGUACCUUCUCUUCGGAGCAGGAGUGACAGGUGGUGCAUGGUUGUCGUCAGCUCGUGUCGUGAGAUGUUGGGUUAAGUCCCGCAACGAGCGCAACCCUUAUCUUUAGUAGCCAGCGGUCAGGCCGGGCACUCUAGAGAGACUGCCAGGGAUAACUUGGAGGAAGGCGGGGAUGACGUCAAAUCAUCAUGCCCCUUAUGACUUGGGCUACACACGUGCUACAAUGGCGUAAACAAAGGGAAGCAAAGCUGUGAAGCCGAGCAAAUCUCAAAAAUAACGUCUCAGUUCGGACUGUAGUCUGCAACCCGACUACACGAAGCUGGAAUCGCUAGUAAUCGCAGAUCAGAAUGCUGCGGUGAAUACGUUCCCGGGUCUUGCACACACCGCCCGUCA